GGUGUCGUGAGGAUAGUGUGCAGUAGUAGUAGUAGUAGUAGUAGAAGAAGGAGGAAGACAUUGACGAGUGAAAAAUUAACUAGAAAAGAGGAGAAGAGGAAGAAAUAAGAAAGACAGAAAAUAAAAGUGCGUGGUUAUGAAUGGAAACUAUUACCUUGGGUCACAAAUUACUGCAGAAGUGGGGAUUUGAGGACUUUCUUUUUUAUUUCUUACAUCUUUGAAUAAAUGACGUGGAAAGCCUUACUCCUCACUUAGCUUAGAUUGUUAUAUUAGGUCAGGUCAGAUUAUAUUAGUUAGGUCAUGUCAGAUUAGGUCAGGCUAGGUAAAGUUAGGUCAUGUCAGAUUGGGUUAGGUUAAGUUAGGUCAGGUCGGGUUGGGUUAGGUUAAGUUAGGUCAGGUCAGGUUGGGUUAGGUUAAGUUAGGUCAGGUCGGGUUGGGUUAGGUUAAGUUAGGUCAGGUCAGGUUGGGUUAGGUUAAGUUAGGUCAGGUCAGGUUGGGUUAGGUUAAGUUAGGUCAGGUCAGGUUGGGUUAGGUUAAGUUAGGUCAGGUCAGGUUGGGUUAGGUUAAGUUAGGUCAGGUCAGGUUGGGUUAGGUAAAGUUAGGUCAGGUCAGGUUGGGUUAGGUUAAGUUAGGUCAGGUCAGGUUGGGUUAGGUUAAGUUAGGUCAGGUCAGGUUGGGUUAGGUUAAGUUAGGUCAGGUCUGGUUAGGUUAGGUAAAGUUAGGUCAGGUCGGGUUUAGGUCAGGUCACUUUGAAUAGGAUUAGAUUAG
Long non-coding RNA from Eriocheir sinensis (Chinese mitten crab), 768 nucleotides. RefSeq lists it as uncharacterized. The record is from RefSeq and is a predicted model, not a curated record. Lineage: Eukaryota; Metazoa; Arthropoda; Malacostraca; Decapoda; Varunidae. The transcript has 3 exons.